CAAAUGAAUUGACGGGGCCGCACAAGCGGUGGAGCAUGUGGUUAAUUCGAAGCAACGCGAAGAACCUUACCAGGUCUUGACAUCCCGAUGCUAUUUCUAGAGAUAGAAAGUUACUUCGGUACAUCGGUGACAGGUGGUGCAUGGUUGUCGUCAGCUCGUGUCGUGAGAUGUUGGGUUAAGUCCCGCAACGAGCGCAACCCCUAUUGUUAGUUGCCAUCAUUCAGUUGGGCACUCUAGCGAGACUGCCGGUGUCAAACCGGAGGAAGGUGGGGAUGACGUCAAGUCCUCAUGGCCUUUAUGACCAGGGCUACACACGUACUACAAUGGCCGGUACAAAGGGCAGCCACUUAGCGAUAAGGAGCCAAUCCCGUAAAGCCGGUCUCAGUCCGGAUUGGAGUCUGCAACUCGACUCCAUGAAGUUGGAAUCGCUAGUAAUCGCAGAUCAGCACGCCGCGGUCGAAUACGUUCCCGGGCCUU
This 477-nucleotide ribosomal RNA is filed under the name uncultured Desulfocapsa sp. Its description in RNAcentral is "bacterial SSU rRNA". It matches the Rfam family "Bacterial small subunit ribosomal RNA", at positions 902 to 1382 of the family's 1533-position model. The record is from RNAcentral. Lineage: Bacteria; Pseudomonadati; Thermodesulfobacteriota; Desulfobulbia; Desulfobulbales; Desulfocapsaceae.